AGGGUGUAAACGCUGCAGACUUGGUGUUGGGGGCCCUUUGGGGGCAUUCAGUGCCGGAGAGAAGUUGUUAAGUCUGCUACUUGGGGAGUACGUCCGCAAGGAUGAAACUUAAAGGAAUUGGCGGGGGAGGCACCGCAACGGGAGGAGCGUGCGGUUUAAUUGGAUUCAACACCGUAAAACUCACCAGGGAAGACUGUUACAUGAAGGCCGAGAUGAAGACUCUGCUAGAUUUUCAGAGAGGAGGUGCAUGGCGUCAGUGACU
Molecule: ribosomal RNA, 262 nt
Filed under: uncultured archaeon
Lineage: Archaea
Description: partial 16S ribosomal RNA
Rfam family: Archaeal small subunit ribosomal RNA
Source: RNAcentral